GACGAACGCUGGCGGCGUGCCUAAUACAUGCAAGUCGAACGCUUCUUUUCCCACCGGAGCUUGCUCCACCGGGAAAAGAGGAGUGGCGAACGGGUGAGUAACACGUGGGUAACCUGCCCAUCAGAAGGGGAUAACACUUGGAAACAGGUGCUAAUACCGUAUAACAAUCGAAACCGCAUGGUUUCGUUUUGAAAGGCGCUUUACGGUGCCGCUGAUGGAUGGACCCGCGGUGCAUUAGCUAGUUGGUGAGGUAACGGCUCACCAAGGCCACGAUGAAUAGCCCACCUGAUAGGGUGAACAGCAACAUUGGGACUAAGACACGGCCCAAACUCCAACGGGAUGCAGAAGUAGGGAAUCUUCGGCAAUGGACGAAAGUCUGACCGGGCAACGCCGCGUGAGUGAAGAAGGUUUUCGGAUCGUAAAACUCUGUUGUUAGAGAAGAACAAGGGUGAGAGUAACUGUUCACCCCUUGACGGUAUCUAACCAGAAAGCCACGGCUAACUACAUGCCAGCCGCCGCAGUAA
This 524-nucleotide ribosomal RNA is filed under the name uncultured bacterium. RNAcentral's name for it is "partial 16S ribosomal RNA". It matches the Rfam family "Bacterial small subunit ribosomal RNA", at positions 28 to 523 of the family's 1533-position model. The record is from RNAcentral.